This 842-nucleotide ribosomal RNA is filed under the name uncultured bacterium. RNAcentral describes it as "bacterial SSU rRNA". It matches the Rfam family "Bacterial small subunit ribosomal RNA", at positions 8 to 845 of the family's 1533-position model. The record is from RNAcentral.
AGAGUUUGAUCCUGGCUCAGAUUGAACGCUGGCGGCAUGCCUUACACAUGCAAGUCGAACGGCAGCACGGGAGCAAUCCUGGUGGCGAGUGGCGAACGGGUGAGUAAUAUAUCGGAACGUGCCCAGUCGUGGGGGAUAACGCAGCGAAAGCUGUGCUAAUACCGCAUACGAUCUACGGAUGAAAGCGGGGGAUCGCAAGACCUCGCGCGAUUGGAGCGGCCGAUAUCAGAUUAGGUUGUUGGUGGGGUAAAAGCCCACCAAGCCGACGAUCUGUAGCUGGUCUGAGAGGACGACCAGCCACACUGGAACUGAGACACGGUCCAGACUCCUACGGGAGGCAGCAGUGGGGAAUUUUGGACAAUGGGCGCAAGCCUGAUCCAGCAAUGCCGCGUGCAGGAUGAAGGCCUUCGGGUUGUAAACUGCUUUUGUACGGAACGAAACGGUCUGCUCUAAUACAGUGGGCUAAUGACGGUACCGUAAGAAUAAGCACCGGCUAACUACGUGCCAGCAGCCGCGGUAAUACGUAGGGUGCGAGCGUUAAUCGGAAUUACUGGGCGUAAAGCGUGCGCAGGCGGUUAUAUAAGACAGAUGUGAAAUCCCCGGGCUCAACCUGGGACCUGCAUUUGUGACUGUAUAGCUAGAGUGCGGCAGAGGGGGAUGGAAUUCCGCGUGUAGCAGUGAAAUGCGUAGAUAUGCGGAGGAACACCGAUGGCGAAGGCAAUCCCCUGGGCCUGCACUGACGCUCAUGCACGAAAGCGUGGGGGAGCAAACAGGAUUAGAUACCCUGGUAGUCCACGCCCUAAACGAUGUCAACUGGUUGUUGGGUCUUCACUGACUCAGUA